RNAcentral lists this ribosomal RNA (482 nucleotides) under uncultured bacterium. RNAcentral's name for it is "bacterial SSU rRNA". It matches the Rfam family "Bacterial small subunit ribosomal RNA", at positions 26 to 518 of the family's 1533-position model. The record is from RNAcentral.
AGGACGAACGCUAGCGACGUGUCUAAGAAAUGCAAGUCGAGCGAUGAAGGAGGCUUCGGCCUCCCGAUUAGCGGCGAACGGUCGCGUAACACGUAAGCAAUCUGCCCCAAAGUUUGGGAUAGCCCGGCGAAAGUCGGACUAAUACCGGAUGUGGAUAUGUCCUCGCAUGUGGAUAUAUCUAAAGCAGCGAUGCGCUUUGGGAUGAGCUUGCGGCCUAUCAGCUUGAUGGCGGGGUAACGGCCUGCCAUGGCGACGACGGGUAGCUGGUCUGAGAGGAUGGUCAGCCGGACUGGGACUGAGAUACGGCCCAGACUCCUACGGGGGGCAGCAAUUAAGAAUCUUGCGCAAUGGGGGCAAACCCCCUGACGCAGCGACGUCGCGUGAAUGAUGAAGUCUUUCGGGAUGUAAAGUUCUUUUGUCAAGGAAGAGUUUUAGACGGUACUUGACGAAUAAGCCCCGGCUAACUACGUGCCAGCAGCCGC